GACGAACGCGGCGGCGUGCCUAAUACAUGCAAGUAGAACGCUGAAGGAGGAGCUUGCUUCUCUGGAUGAGUUGCGAACGGGUGAGUAACGCGUAGGUAACCUGCCUGGUAGCGGGGGAUAACUAUUGGAAACGAUAGCUAAUACCGCAUAAUAGCAGUUAUUGCAUGAUAACUGUUUAAAAGGUGCAAUUGCACCACUACCAGAUGGACCUGCGUUGUAUUAGCUAGUUGGUGGGGUAACGGCUCACCAAGGCGACGAUACAUAGCCGACCUGAGAGGGUGAUCGGCCACACUGGGACUGAGACACGGCCCAGACUCCUACGGGAGGCAGCAGUAGGGAAUCUUCGGCAAUGGACGAAAGUCUGACCGAGCAACGCCGCGUGAGUGAAGAAGGUUUUCGGAUCGUAAAGCUCUGUUGUAAGAGAAGAAACGAGUGUGAGAGUGGAAAGUUUCACGCUGUGACGG
This 464-nucleotide ribosomal RNA is filed under the name Streptococcus mitis. RNAcentral describes it as "bacterial SSU rRNA". It matches the Rfam family "Bacterial small subunit ribosomal RNA", at positions 28 to 475 of the family's 1533-position model. Lineage: Bacteria; Bacillati; Bacillota; Bacilli; Lactobacillales; Streptococcaceae. The record is from RNAcentral.